RNAcentral lists this ribosomal RNA (253 nucleotides) under uncultured bacterium. RNAcentral describes it as "partial 16S ribosomal RNA". It matches the Rfam family "Bacterial small subunit ribosomal RNA", at positions 524 to 776 of the family's 1533-position model. The record is from RNAcentral.
UACGUAGGGUGCAAGCGUUAAUCGGAAUUACUGGGCGUAAAGCGUGCGCAGGCGGUUAUGUAAGACAGAUGUGAAAUGCCCGGGCUUAACCUGGGAACUGCAUUUGUGACUGCACGGCUAGAGUGUGUCAGAGGGGGGUAGAAUUCCACGUGUAGCAGUGAAAUGCGUAGAGAUGUGGAGGAAUACCGAUGGCGAAGGCAGCCCCCUGGGAUAACACUGACGCUCAUGCACGAAAGCGUGGGGAGCAAACAGG